Molecule: long non-coding RNA, 505 nt
Filed under: Coffea arabica (coffee)
Lineage: Eukaryota; Viridiplantae; Streptophyta; Magnoliopsida; Gentianales; Rubiaceae
Description: long non-coding RNA (CARA_LNC006192)
Source: RNAcentral
ACUGAAAGAUGGAUCCGUUGAUGUCCAUCCCAUUCAGCAUCUAUCUCUAGAAAAGGCUAAGGAACUCAUUCACAGAAUCGCCUUUCCAGGAUCUCGUAUAUGCCCUCCAGCUUUAGCUACACUGUCCAAUGAAAUUCUAGGAAAAUGUGAAGGGCUACCAUUGGCAAUCACUGAAAUUGGUCACCUUUUGUCAACUAAGGGGGAAAGGGAACCUGAAUGGAAAAAAUUGCGUGAUAGUCUUGCAUCAGAACUGACAAGCCAUGGCCGGCUUGCAAAUAUUGCAAAAGUGUUGAUUCUUAGUUAUGAUGACUUACCUUACCAUCUUAAAAACUGUUUUCUGUUGAUGAAUACUUUUCCCCCUAAUCACCCCAUCCAGCGCACAGAGCUAAUACGGUUAUGGAUAGCAGAAGACUUCAUCACAGAAGGGAACAAUGGAAAAGAACUCGAAGAUUUGGGGGAAGAAUACCUGAACGAGCUCAUUCAAAGAAACUUGGUUCAGGUGUGG